RNAcentral lists this long non-coding RNA (1651 nucleotides) under Xyrichtys novacula (pearly razorfish). Lineage: Eukaryota; Metazoa; Chordata; Actinopteri; Labriformes; Labridae. The record is from RNAcentral.
GUUAUGGGGCUAUAGUAAGGUUAAAGGUUUUUGGCGUUAGGGUUAAAAUCACUGUCCAAAACCUUUUUAGGAACAUGUUUCAGACCUUUUGGAGUUGGUUACACCAAAAAAAAAUGUAAAAUGAAAAAAAAAUAUUUGGGGUGUUCGGGCUUCCUGAAGGUAAUACCCGGGUAUUAGGUUAUGGGGCUAGGGUAAGGUUUAAGGUUUUUGGCGUUAGGGUUAAAAUCACUGUCCAAAACCUUUUAAGGAACAAGAUUCAGACCUUUUGGAGUUGGUUACACCAAAAAAAAUGUAAAAUGAAAAAAAAAAUAUUUGGGGUGUUCGGGCUUCCUGAAGGUAAUACCCGGGUAUUAGGUUAUGGGGCUAGGGUAAGGUUUAAGGUUUUUGGCGUUAGGGUUAAAAUCACUGUCCAAUAUUUUUAAGGAACAUGUUUCAGACCUUUUGGAGCUAGUUAGACCAAAAAAAAAAAAAAAAAGAAAAAAAUAUAUAUUUGGGGUGUUCGGGCUUCCUGAAGGUAAUACCCGGGUAUUAGGUUUUGGGGCUAGGGUAAGGUUUAAGGUUUUUGGCGUUAGGGUUAAAAUCACUGUCCAAUAUUUUUUAAGGAACAUGUUUCAGACCUUUUGGAGUUAGUUCGACCAAAAAAAAAAGAAAAAAAAAAAAAAAAUAUUUUGGGUUUUCGGGCUUCCUGAAGGUAUUAGGUUUUGGGGCUAGUGUAAGGUUUAAGGUUUUUGGCGUUAGGGUUAAAAUCACUGUCCAAAACCUUUUAAGGAACAAGAUUCAGACCUUUUGGAGUUGGUUACACCAAAAAAAAUGUAAAAUGAAAAAAAAUAUAUUUGGGGUGUUCGGGCUUCCUGAAGGUAAUACUAGGUUUCUGGGCUAGGGUAAUGUUUAAGGUUUUUGGCGUUAGGGUUAAAAUCAGUGUCCAAAACCUUUGUAGGAACUCUUUUCCAACCUUUGAGAGCAAGUUAGACCAAAACAAAAAUAAAAAUAAAAAUAUAUAUUUGGGGUGUUCGGGCUUCCUGAAGGUAAUACCCGGGUAUUAGGUUAUGGGGCUAGGGUAAGGUUUAAGGUUUUUGGCGUUAGGGUUAAAAUCACUGUCCAAUAUUUUUUAAGGAACAUGUUUCAGACCUUUUGGAGUUAGUUAGACAAAAAAAAAAAAAAAAAAUGAAAAAAAAAUAUUUGGGGUGUUCGGGCUUCCUGAAGGUAAUACCCGGGUAUUAGGUUAUGGGGCUAGGGUAAGGUUUAAGGUUUUUGGCGUAAGGGUUAAAAUCACUGUCCAAAACCUUUUUAGGAACAUGUUUCAGACCUUUUGGAGUUGGUUACACCAAAAAAAAAUGUAAAAUGAAAAAAAAUAUAUUUGGGGUGUUCGGGCUUCCUGAAGGUAAUACCCGGGUAUUAGGUUAUGGGGCUAGGGUAAGGUUUAAGGUUUUUGGCGUUAGGGUUAAAAUCACUGUCCAAAACCUUUGUAGGAACUCUUUUCCAACCUUUUGGAGUUAGUUAGACCAAAAAAAAAAAAGAAAAAUGAAAAAAAAAUAUUUGGGGUGUUCGGGCUUCCUGAAGGUAAUACCCGGGUAUUAGGUUAUGGGGCUAGGGUAAGGUUUAAGGUUUUUGGCGUUAGGGUUAAAAUCACUGUCCAAAACCUUUUUAGGAA